Molecule: ribosomal RNA, 314 nt
Filed under: uncultured bacterium
Lineage: Bacteria
Description: bacterial SSU rRNA
Rfam family: Bacterial small subunit ribosomal RNA
Source: RNAcentral
AGUCAAUAGAUACCCUGGUAGUCCACGCCGUAAACGAUGAGUACUAGGUGUAGGAGGUAUCGACUCCUUCUGUGCCGCAGUUAAACACAAUAAGUACUCCGCCUGGGAAGUACGGUCGCAAGAUUAAAAACUCAAAGGAAUUGACGGGGGCCCGCACAAGCAGCGGAGCAUGUGGUUUAAUUCGAAGACAACGCGAAGAACCUUACCUAGACUUGACAUCUCCUGAAUAGCGCAGAGAUGCGUGAAAGCCCUUCGGGGCGAGGAAGACAGGUGGUGCAUGGUUGUCGUCAGCUCGUGUCGUGAGAUGUUGGGUU